RNAcentral lists this long non-coding RNA (1951 nucleotides) under Homo sapiens (human). RNAcentral's name for it is "HSALNT0061913". Lineage: Eukaryota; Metazoa; Chordata; Mammalia; Primates; Hominidae. The record is from RNAcentral.
CCGCGCCUCUCCCGCCACACCUCCCUGCAAGCUGAGGGAGCCGGCUCCUGCCUUGGCCAGGCUAGAAAGGGGCUCCCACAGUGCAGGGGCGGGCUGAAGGGCUCCUCAAGUGCCACCAAAGUGGGAGCCCAGGCAGAGGAGGUGCCGAGAGCGAGCGAGGGCUGCGAGGACUGCCAGCAGCUGUCACCUCUCGUUACCAUCACUCCUAGUGACCAUUUCGGAUAAUCCACCUUGCCUCAUCAAACCAGAAAACAAUUCAAACCUGGCCUCCUUCUAACUGGAAGCCACAUUUUAAGAACUUAUUGUGAAGAACUGGAAAGCCUCCAAUAGCACGGGACCUGGCAUGGAGCAGCAUUCAAAAUAUUGGGUAGAAGGAAAAAGGAAGAAAGAAGGGAAGGACAGGGAAGCAAGGAAAUAAAGGAAAUCAGGCUAUAUAUACAGUGAUGCCCAUCUACCCCUGAGAUCUAAAAAUCUAAGAUGAAAACGAGCACACAGUCUUGGCAGCAUUGGGGUAACAGACUAUGAAAGAAGAAAUCAGAUUGGAAAAUUCAGUAUAUCAAUGAAGAAAAUAAUCACUCAAGGAGAGGAAUAAACAGCAAAACAAUCUAUAUAUUUAAUUAUAGAUACAAUUGUUUCAAUGCUGAUUAUUCAUCCUUAUAUAACUGUCUACAGCUAUUUAGGGUUGUCUUCAUCCAUUUUGUGUUGCCAUUGCAGAAUACGUGAAACUGGGUAAUUUGUAAAGAAAAGAGAUUUUUUAACUUAUGGGUUCUGCAGGAUGGGAAGUUCAAGAAACAUGACACCAGCAUCUGCUUGGUUUCUGUUGAGGACUUUCAUGCUUAUAUCACAACAUGGCAGAAGGUUAAAGGGGGAGUAGACAUGUGCAAAUAGGCAAAACCUGAGGGGCAUCUUGGCUUUAUAACAACCCACUCUUGGAGGACUAAUUCAUUCUUGAGAGAACUAAUCUGGUCUUGCCAGAGAAAAAAUUCACUCACUGCCUACUGUGAGAAUAGCACUAAGCCAUCCAUGAGAGUGGAGCCCCAUCACUCAAACACCUCCCAUUAGGCUCUACAGCUUACAGAUUAUACCUCCUAACAUUGCCACAGUGGGAAACAAAUUUCAAGAUGAGAUUUGGUGGGGACAGACCAUAUCUAAACAAAGAGUAAACAAGGGUAAACAACUUUUGAGAACAUACUUGUGAUCCUUUAUUUCAACCCAGAAUGAUGCCAGAAUUUUGGAGAUGGGGCUCAGAGCAAAUCAGUAAGUUACAAUUCUCAAGUUUCACAGGGAAGUGGGAGUGAGAGACACAUCAUGGAGGACCACGCGACUCUCAGUUACACUGGGUGAAUUGUCUUCAUUGAAUUCCCGCACCAUGCAGACUCAUUUAACGGUAGUUCUUCCAAAGCUGCUUUUCUGCUUUGCUUUUGGAAUACUACUUUAUCUAAAUUUUCAUCUACCCUUUCAAUUCCUAUGCUUCUUGUGUUGAUUUCUCUUUUCCGACUUCUCAGAUUUUUAAUCUCAUUUUUAAACAUGAGAAUUCUCUGAGGUCUAUUUCUUGACCCUUUGUCCUCUUUUUAACUAUCCCUUGGGAAACUUGCACAAUCUAAAUGACUAACUAGAACUUAUGAGAUUAUGAGCCAGAUCUCUCCCUGCUUAUGAGCCCAUUUCAAUUAGAUGUCUCAGCAUCAUUGUAAGUUAAAAUGCAUAAAAUCCAAAACAAUAAAUUUUUCUCAAACCAAUGUUAUAUCUGAAAUGGUUAUUUCAAUGACUUUAAUGACUUUCAAUAACUUCAAUGACCUUAGCUUCUUUCUGUUCUUUCCACAAGCUAGUGCUUUAAUUUUUUAAGAAUAAACUUAACAGAUGAAAUGAUAAAGACAUAAUUUUUAUGUUGUGUUAUACUCUUGAUGGAAAUAUUUCCAAAUCUUUUGAAUGAAGAGCUUUGAAGAAAAACCUG